AACGAACGCUGGCGGCAUGCCUAACACAUGCAAGUCGAACGAGACCUUCGGUCUAGUGGCGCACGGGUGCGUAACGCGUGGGAAUCUGCCCUUGGUUCGGAAUAACAGUUAGAAAUGACUGCUAAUACCGGAUAAUGUCUUCGGACCAAAGAUUUAUCGCCCAGGGAUGAGCCCGCGUAGGAUUAGCUAGUUGGUGAGGUAAAGGCUCACCAAGGCGACGAUCCUUAGCUGGUCUGAGAGGAUGAUCAGCCACACUGGGACUGAGACACGGCCCAGACUCCUACGGGAGGCAGCAGUGGGGAAUAUUGGACAAUGGCGAAGCCUGAUCCAGCAAUGCCGCGUGAGGUGAU
Molecule: ribosomal RNA, 350 nt
Filed under: uncultured bacterium
Lineage: Bacteria
Description: bacterial SSU rRNA
Rfam family: Bacterial small subunit ribosomal RNA
Source: RNAcentral